AGAUUGAACGCUAGCGGGAUGCUUUACACAUGCAAGUCGAGCGGCAGCGCGGACUUCGGUCUGGCGGCGAGUGGCGAACGGGUGAGUAAUAUAUCGGAACGUGCCCAGUAGCGGGGGAUAACUACGCGAAAGCGUGGCUAAUACCGCAUACGCCCUACGGGGGGAAAGGGGGGGAUUCUUCGGAACCUCUCACUAUUGGAGCGGCCGAUAUCAGAUUAGCUAGUUGGUGAGGUAAAGGCUCACCAAGGCGACGAUCUGUAGCUGGUUUGAGAGGACGACCAGCCACACUGGGACUGAGACACGGCCCAGACUCCUACGGGAGGCAGCAGUGGGAAUUUUGGACAAUGGGGGAAACCUGAUCCAGCCAUCCCGCGUGUGCGAUGAAGGCCUUCGGUGUAAGACUACUUUGGUCGAGGAAGAAACGGCGUAGCCCUAAGUACGGACGUCACUCGACGGUACCGUCGCAGAAUAAGACACCGGACUAACUACGUAGCCAGCAGCCGCGUAA
Molecule: ribosomal RNA, 508 nt
Filed under: uncultured soil bacterium
Lineage: Bacteria
Description: bacterial SSU rRNA
Rfam family: Bacterial small subunit ribosomal RNA
Source: RNAcentral